AGCAGCCGCGGUAAUUCCAGCUCCAAUAGCGUAUAUUAAAGUUGUUGCAGUUAAAAAGCUCGUAGUUGAAUUUUGGGUUUGGCCGAUUGGUCCGUUCUUGUAACGAGUACUGGUCGGUUGGGCCUCACCGCUUGGUGAUGCGUAAUGCCCUUUAUUGGGUGUUGCGAGUAGCCAAGACCUUUACCUUGAAAAAUUAGAGUGUUUAAAGCAGGCAUAUGCCGGAAUACAUUAGCAUGGAAUAAUAGAAUAGGACAACGAUUCUAUUUUGUUGGUUUCUAGGACCGUUGUAAUGAUUAAUAGGGAUAGUUGGGGGCAUUAGUAUUCAAUUGUCAGAGGUGAAAUUCUUGGAUUUAUUGAAGACCAGCUACUGCGAAAGCAUUUGCCAAGGAUGUUUUCAUUAAUCAAGAACGAAAUUAGGGGAUCGAAGACGAUCAGAUACCGUCGUAGUCUUAACCAUAAACUAUGCCGACUAGGGAUCGGGCGAAGUUGUUUCAAUGACUCGCUCGGCACCUUAUGGGAA
This 520-nucleotide ribosomal RNA is filed under the name uncultured Archaeospora. RNAcentral describes it as "SSU rRNA". It matches the Rfam family "Eukaryotic small subunit ribosomal RNA", at positions 569 to 1096 of the family's 1831-position model. Lineage: Eukaryota; Fungi; Glomeromycota; Glomeromycetes; Archaeosporales; Archaeosporaceae. The record is from RNAcentral.